AGAGUGAACGCUGGCGGUAGGCCUAACACAUGCAAGUCGAACGGCAGCACAGUGGUAGCAAUACCAUGGGUGGCGAGUGGCGGACGGGUGAGGAAUACAUCGGAAUCUACCUUUUCGUGGGGGAUAACGUAGGGAAACUUACGCUAAUACCGCAUACGCCCUUCGGGGGAAAGCCGGGGAUCGCAAGACCUGGCGCGGAUAGAUGAGCCGAUGUCGGAUUAGCUAGUUGGUGAGGUAAUGGCUCACCAAGGCGACGAUCCGUAGCUGGUCUGAGAGGAUGAUCAGCCACACUGGAACUGAGACACGGUCCAGACUCCUACGGGAGGCAGCAGUGGGGAAUAUUGGACAAUGGGCGCAAGCCUGAUCCAGCCAUACCGCGUGGGUGAAGAAGGCCUUGGUUGUAAAGCCCUUUUGUUGGAAAGAAAAGCAAUCGGUUAAUACCCGGUUGUUCUGACGGUACCCAAAGAAUAAGCACCGGCUAACUUCGUGCCAGCAGCCGCGGUAAUCU
This 508-nucleotide ribosomal RNA is filed under the name uncultured soil bacterium. RNAcentral's name for it is "bacterial SSU rRNA". It matches the Rfam family "Bacterial small subunit ribosomal RNA", at positions 26 to 526 of the family's 1533-position model. The record is from RNAcentral.